AGUACUUAAGCAGGAGGCUGCCAGCACUUCAAUGCGAGAGUGUUUUGCCACAGUGAUUUUUAAGCCUAAGCUUUGGAUCUAUGUCACUGAGUUUUCUGGACUACGUUCUGUCUUCGUUUGAGGAUCCUGUGUAUCUACCUUCGUUUGGAUUUGCAUCAAGCUGGCAGCUUCCUGUCCUCUUCGUCUCCUGAGCCAAGCCACAAACGUACCUUGUCCACCCUCCAACGUAAGCCACCGCACAUCGAACUUGUUUACUGUAACCUGAACAGGACAGCACCAAGUGAACUCACUACGGAUAUAUCUGCUUAAGACCUGGAUCCUGAAUCUCAUUCCCCCUGGCGACCUGACCAUCAUAACUCAUGAGAUAUUUCAUCCGUUCCGUUCCUGACUAUAUCUUCAAUAAACAAUUUUAUUUUA
Molecule: long non-coding RNA, 417 nt
Organism: Girardinichthys multiradiatus
Lineage: Eukaryota; Metazoa; Chordata; Actinopteri; Cyprinodontiformes; Goodeidae
Exons: 2
Source: RefSeq, a predicted model, not a curated record